UCCCACUCGCCCCGCCCGUGGUUCCCCUGGGCCUGGGUCCGCCCGCGACGGCCCCCAAGCUCCCACUGGGGCCUGGAGGACAGAGUUUACCGGAGAGACCCCCUUGUUGGAGAUCUCCCGCUGAAGGACGCGGCCGCGUCGCUGAAUUUGCCCGGAAGGGGGAGUAGGAGUUCUCCUGCCUGUCACUCUCAGUCAAGCCUCGUGAAUUUCUCUCGUUCCCUUCUACACGCGCCCUCCGCAGUCUCUUCAAAUUGUCAUCCCACCCUGACAGCUGCACUGCAUCAGUGGUGACAGGUCCAGGAACGCAGGCAGUGAAAAGAAGAGAUUGGACCUGGAAAAGAAACUUUAUGAACAUAAUCAAUCUGAUAUAUGCAGCAGGUAGUGAUCUCAGCUGGUCUUGAACCGCAAACUGGCUCCUGGCUGCAGCGCCAGCCUCAGUUCAGAUCUUCUGUUGUUAGCGAGUGGCUUGCGCAUGCGUGGUUCAGUCCGUCAGAAAGGUUAAGGAGAUGUAACCACCAGCCAUCCUGAAACUGACCAAAUGAGGCACUCAAGGGAGA
This is a long non-coding RNA of Diceros bicornis minor, 557 nucleotides long. RefSeq lists it as uncharacterized. The record is from RefSeq and is a predicted model, not a curated record. NCBI's taxonomy places the organism in Eukaryota, Metazoa, Chordata, Mammalia, Perissodactyla, Rhinocerotidae. The transcript is spliced from 4 exons.